Molecule: transfer RNA, 76 nt
Filed under: Lachnospiraceae bacterium
Lineage: Bacteria; Bacillati; Bacillota; Clostridia; Lachnospirales; Lachnospiraceae
Description: tRNA-Ile
Source: RNAcentral
CCGGACGUAGCUCAAUCAGAAGAGCGGUGACACUAAUAAUAGUCACAGGAUGCGAGUGCAACUCUCGUCGUCCGGU